RNAcentral lists this ribosomal RNA (425 nucleotides) under uncultured bacterium. RNAcentral's name for it is "partial 16S ribosomal RNA". It matches the Rfam family "Bacterial small subunit ribosomal RNA", at positions 354 to 796 of the family's 1533-position model. The record is from RNAcentral.
GUGGGGAAUCUUGCGCAAUGGGCGAAAGCCUGACGCAGCCAUGCCGCGUGAAUGAUGAAGGUCUUAGGAUUGUAAAAUUCUUUCACCGGGGACGAUAAUGACGGUACCCGGAGAAGAAGCCCCGGCUAACUUCGAGCCAGCAGCCGCGGUAAUACGAAGGGGGCUAGCGUUGCUCGGAAUUACUGGGCGUAAAGGGCGCGUAGGCGGACAGUUUAGUCAGAGGUGAAAGCCCAGGGCUCAACCUUGGAAUUGCCUUUGAUACUGGCUGUCUUGAGUACGGGAGAGGUGAGUGGAACUCCGAGUGUAGAGGUGAAAUUCGUAGAUAUUCGGAAGAACACCAGUGGCGAAGGCGACUCACUGGCCCGUUACUGACGCUGAGGCGCGAAAGCGUGGGGAGCAAACAGGAUUAGAAACCCUUGUAGUCC